This 71-nucleotide transfer RNA is filed under the name Tympanophyllum maximum. RNAcentral describes it as "tRNA-Lys". Lineage: Eukaryota; Metazoa; Arthropoda; Insecta; Orthoptera; Tettigoniidae. The record is from RNAcentral.
CAUUAGAUGACUGAAAGAAAGUAUUGGUCUCUUAAACCAUAUAAUAGUAAUUUAACGCCUACUUCUAAUGA